Molecule: ribosomal RNA, 362 nt
Filed under: Pyrenula subelliptica
Lineage: Eukaryota; Fungi; Ascomycota; Eurotiomycetes; Pyrenulales; Pyrenulaceae
Description: partial small subunit ribosomal RNA
Source: RNAcentral
UAGGUACAUUUGCUGAAACCUUANUAACGCCUAUCGCUGGUAGGUCAACCACAACGACUCUNAACAAGAUUGGUUACCCGGUUAANACUCUAUCCAGUUUUGACCGGGGUGCUGGUCGGUUUCUGCUUUCAGAAACUGGCGACACCUUUAGUCUGCGGGAACAUUCUUCGAAUAACCUGCAGUCGGCAUAGCUCCGUGUAUAACAGAGCGCAGAGGUCGACUCACAGACUAAAUAGCGGUGGACGUCGCUAAGAUACGGCGUUUCAGAUAUAGUCGCGUCCCUGGGUUUGCGCCCUCUGGGAUGUCUGUGUCCCUGCACACAGAAGCCACGUUCCGUAGGUGAACCUGCGGAAGGAUCAUUA